Triticum aestivum (bread wheat) is the source of this 104-nucleotide non-coding RNA. The record is from Rfam. NCBI's taxonomy places the organism in Eukaryota, Viridiplantae, Streptophyta, Magnoliopsida, Poales, Poaceae.
GAAAGUCGUGUGCAAUGAAAAAUGCAAGCACGAUUUGGGGAGGGAUUUUUCCUUUACUAGUUUGAAACUUGUCAUAAAUAAGGUUAUUCCCCGCCUACCUUUAC